RNAcentral lists this ribosomal RNA (762 nucleotides) under uncultured soil bacterium. RNAcentral's name for it is "bacterial SSU rRNA". It matches the Rfam family "Bacterial small subunit ribosomal RNA", at positions 8 to 796 of the family's 1533-position model. The record is from RNAcentral.
AGAGUUUGAUCCUGGCUCAGGACGAACGCUAGCGGCGUGCCUAAGGUAUGCAAGUCGAACGGGGAAGCAAUUCCUAGUGGCGAACGGUCGAGUAACACGUAGACAACCUGCCUCCCAGCGGGGGAUACCCGCGGGAAACCGCGGCUAAUACCGCAUGCGAUCCGGAAGGGCAGCCUUCCUGGAUGAAAGGAGCUUGCUUCACUGGGAGAUGGGUCUGCGGCCUAUCAGCUCGUUGGCGGGGUAACGGCCCACCAAGGCGACGACGGGUAGCUGGUCUGAGAGGAUGAUCAGCCGGACGGGGACUGAGACACGGCCCCGACUCCUUCGGGAGGCAGCAAUGAGGAAUCUUGCGCAAUGGGGGCAACCCUGACGCAGCGACGCCGCGUGGGUGAGGAAGUCCUUCGGGAUGUAAAGCCCUUUUCUGGGGGACGAGAACGGACGGUACCCCAGGAAGAAGCCCCGGCUAACUACGUGCCAGCAGCCGCGGUAAUACGUAGGGGGCAAGCGUUGUCCGGAUUUACUGGGCGUAAAGAGCGCGUAGGCGGAACGUUAAGCGGGGCCGGAAAGCCCCCGGCUCAACCGGGGAAGGGGCCGCGAACUGGCGUUCUUGAGGGGGAGAGGGGAGAGCGGAAUUCCUGGUGUAGCGGUGAAAUGCGUAGAGAUCAGGAGGAACACCCAUGGCGAAGGCAGCUCUCUGGCUUCACCCUGACGCUGAGGCGCGAAAGCGUGGGGAGCGAACGGGAUUAGAUACCCCUGUAGUCC